GCUUAAAAUCCAAAGGACUUGACGGUGUCCCACCCACCUAGAGGAGCCUGUUCUUUAAUCGAUAAUCCUCGCUUUACCUUACCAUUUUUUGCUAUCCACAGCCUGUAUACCUCCGUCGCAAGCUUACCGUGUGAAUGACAUACAGCAAGCCCAAUGGUCCAACCACCAACACGUCAGGUCAAGGUGCAGUCCAUGAAAUGGAAAGCAAUGGGCUACAAUUUCUAAUCUAGAACAAACGAACUACCCCUUGAAACUAUGAGUAUGAAGGUGGAUUUAGUAGUAAACGGAAACAAUAGAGUUCCAUUUAAAAAGGCCCUGGGACGUGUACAAACCGCCCGUCACCCUCUUCAAUAGCACCAAAAAUUAUAUAAAAACCAAUAAGCACUAUAGAAGAGGCAAGUCGUAACAUGGUAAGCGUACUGGAAAGUGCGCUUGGAUUAACAAAAUGUAGCUUAACCAAAGCUUUUCGCUUACACCGAAAAGAUAUCUGUUAAACCCAGGUCAUUUUGAGCCAAAAAUCUA
This 522-nucleotide ribosomal RNA is filed under the name Boophis opisthodon. RNAcentral's name for it is "partial 12S ribosomal RNA". The stretch from base 1 to 448 matches the Rfam family "Bacterial small subunit ribosomal RNA", at positions 892 to 1533 of the family's 1533-position model. Lineage: Eukaryota; Metazoa; Chordata; Amphibia; Anura; Mantellidae. The record is from RNAcentral.